Molecule: ribosomal RNA, 391 nt
Filed under: Caenorhabditis nigoni
Lineage: Eukaryota; Metazoa; Nematoda; Chromadorea; Rhabditida; Rhabditidae
Description: eukaryotic LSU rRNA
Rfam family: Eukaryotic large subunit ribosomal RNA
Source: RNAcentral
AUCAACCUGAACUCAGUCGUGAUUACCCGCUGAACUUAAGCAUAUCAUUUAGCGGAGGAAAAGAAACUAAAAAGGAUUCCCUUAGUAACGGCGAGUGAAACGGGAUGAGCCCAGCGCCGAAUCGAUCAGCCUAUGGUUGCUUCGAAAUGUGGCGUAUAGGUGUAGUCUUCCAGCAGUGUCGUGAGUCCGAAGUCCUUACGAUUGAGGCCAUAGACCAGAGAGGGUGCGAGUCCCGUCCUGGAUUGCGAUGCUGUUGGUUCGAUUGCUCCUUGGAGUCGGGUUGCUUGAAAGUGCAGCCUAAAGUGGGUGAUAAACUUCAUCUAAGGCUAAAUAUUGACUCGAUUGCGAUAGCGAACAAGUACCGUGAGGGAAAGUUGCAAAGGACUUUGAA